CAGCAGCCGCGGUAAUACGGAGGGGGCUAGCGUUGUUCGGAAUUACUGGGCGUAAAGCGCACGUAGGCGGCUUGGUAAGUUAGAGGUGAAAGCCUGGAGCUCAACUCCAGAAUUGCCUUUAAGACUGCCGAGCUAGCAGGUGAGAGAGGUAAGUGGAACUCCGAGUGUAGAGGUGAAAUUCGUAGAUAUUCGGAAGAACACCAGUGGCGAAGGCGGCUUACUGGCUCAUACUGGACGCUGAGGUGCGAGAGCGUGGGGAGCAAACAGGAUUAGAUACCCCCGUAGUCCCUGUCUCUUAUAC
Molecule: ribosomal RNA, 301 nt
Filed under: uncultured bacterium
Lineage: Bacteria
Description: partial 16S ribosomal RNA
Rfam family: Bacterial small subunit ribosomal RNA
Source: RNAcentral